CAGCCGCCGCGGUAAUACGGAGGGCGCGAGCGUUACCCGGAUUUACUGGGCGUAAAGGGCGUGUAGGCGGCCUGGGGCGUCCCAUGUGAAAGGCCACGGCUCAACCGUGGAGGAGCGUGGGAUACGCUCAGGCUAGAGGGUGGGAGAGGGUGGUGGAAUUCCCGGAGUAGCGGUGAAAUGCGCAGAUACCGGGAGGAACGCCGAUGGCGAAGGCAGCCACCUGGUCCACUUCUGACGCUGAGGCGCGAAAGCGUGGGGAGCAAACCGGAUUAGAUACCCGAGUAGUCCCUGUCUCUUAUAC
Molecule: ribosomal RNA, 301 nt
Filed under: uncultured bacterium
Lineage: Bacteria
Description: partial 16S ribosomal RNA
Rfam family: Bacterial small subunit ribosomal RNA
Source: RNAcentral